This 950-nucleotide ribosomal RNA is filed under the name uncultured eukaryote. RNAcentral's name for it is "SSU rRNA". It matches the Rfam family "Eukaryotic small subunit ribosomal RNA", at positions 625 to 1602 of the family's 1831-position model. The record is from RNAcentral.
CGCUCGUAGUCGGAUUUCGGGGCAGUCCGACCGGUCUGCCGAUGGGUAUGCACUGGCCGGAGUGUCCUUUUUGCCGGAGACCGUGCCUACUCUUAACUGAGCGGGGGCGGGAGACGGCACUUUUACUUUGAAAAAAUCAGAGUGUUUCAAGCAGGCAGCUCGCUCUUGCAUGGAUUAGCAUGGGAUAAUGAAAUAGGACUUUGGUGCUAUUUUGUUGGUUUCGAACACCGAAGUAAUGAUGAGAAGGGACAGUCAGGGGCACUCGUAUUCCGCAGAGAGAGGUGAAAUUCUCAGACCCGCGGAAGACGAACCACUGCGAAAGCAUUUGCCAGGGAUGUUUUCACUGAUCAAGAACGAAAGUUAGGGGAUCGAAGAUGAUCAGAUACCGUCGUAGUCUUAACCAUAAACCAUGCCGACUAGGGAUUGGAGGAUGUUCACUGAUUGACUCCUUCAGCACCUUACGGGAAACUAAAGUCUUUGGGUUCCGGGGGGAGUAUGGUCGCAAGGCUGAAACUUAAAGGAAUUGACGGAAGGGCACCACCAGGUGUGGAGCCUGCGGCUUAAUUUGACUCAACACGGGGAAACUUACCAGGUCCAGACAUUGUGAGGAUUGACAGAUUGAGAGCUCUUUCUUGAUUCGAUGGGUGGUGGUGCAUGGCCGUUCUUAGUUGGUGGAGUGAUUUGUCUGGUUAAUUCCGUUAACGAACGAGACCUUAGCCUGCUAAAUAGUGACGCGAACUCUUUGUUGGCGGUCCACUUCUUAGAGGGACAACUUGUCUUCAACAAGUGGAAGUUUGAGGCAAUAACAGGUCUGUGAUGCCCUUUGAUGCUCUGGGCCGCACGCGCGCUACACUGAUGCACUCAACGAGUCUCUACCUUGACCGAAAGGUCCGGGAAACCUUCGAACUUGCAUCGUGAUGGGGAUAGAUUAUUGCAACUAUUAAUCUUCA